Molecule: ribosomal RNA, 305 nt
Filed under: uncultured bacterium
Lineage: Bacteria
Description: bacterial SSU rRNA
Rfam family: Bacterial small subunit ribosomal RNA
Source: RNAcentral
UGUCCCGGAGGCAGCAGUGGGGAAUAUUGCACAAUGGGGGGAACCCUGAUGCAGCAAUGCCGCGUGGGUGAAGAAGCACUCCGGUGCGUAAAGCCCUGUCAGCAGGGAGGAAAAUGACAGUACCUGGACAAGAAGCCCCGGCUAACUACGUGCCAGCAGCCGCGGUAAUACGUAGGGGGCAAGCGUUAUCCGGAUUUACUGGGUGUAAAGGGAGCGCAGGCGGUCUGGCAAGUCUGAUGUGAAAUACCGGGGCUCAACUCCGGGACUGCAUUGGAAACUGUCAGACUGGAGUGUCGGAGAGGCAG